Gasterosteus aculeatus aculeatus (three-spined stickleback) is the source of this 1888-nucleotide long non-coding RNA. The record is from Ensembl. NCBI's taxonomy places the organism in Eukaryota, Metazoa, Chordata, Actinopteri, Perciformes, Gasterosteidae.
GAAAGUUGUUUUUUUAACGACAAGAUAUACAAAGAGAACAAAGAGGAUGUUGGGUAAUAAUUAGAAUAUAUAUUAAACAUAUUAAUCAUACCCUCUAAACUAUAAAAACAUUUUCAUAUUCAUAUUAAAUAAUAAUUAUUUGCUAUUUAAGCCGAUAUGUCACAAAACGUAAACUAAAUACUUUCAUUGAAGUAAAGGAAAGAAAGCAAAAAAAGAAAUGGUGACAGGAAACGGAGGAGAUGAAGGACAGUGUGUGUGUGUGUGUGUGUGUGUGUGUGUGUGUGUGUGUGUGUGUGUGUGAGUGUGAGUGUCGGAAAUCAAAGAUGGAGUCCGUCAGCGUGCCUCCGAGUCAAAAUAAGACUCUGUCAAGUCGGCACAACCCUGAUCAGAGGAAACUCGUCGUUAGCUUGUCACUACCACGGUGUGUCAGAGCCCACCGACCUCCGGGCCCCCCGACACACACACAACACACACACACACACACACACACGCUUCACCGCUUAUAAUUUCCAUUUCAUCUGCAUCUUCCGAUCCACUUAAUGCUACGUGAGUCGACAGGUGGAUCGGACAGGCGGCCUUGUCAAGUGGAAUUUUGUCACACUGACACCCAGAUUUCAUCGCUGGUUUCUGGGUUUCUCCCCCCUCCUCCCUCCUUCCCUCCCUCCCUCCCUCUCUCCUCCCUCCCUCUCUCCUCCAGUCCAAACAGACUUCGGGCUUCUCCUGCGAACCUCGUGUGCAUUGCAAUGUGUGCAGAAAGCCUCAAAACCUCAAACUGCUGAGAACCGACAAAGUGUGUGUCUCUUUCUGUGUGUGUCUCUUUCUGUGGUGUUGUGUGUGUGUGUCUGCUGUUUUUUUUAACAAGAUAUUUUAGUGCUGAAACCCGCAAUGAAACAACCUCUUGUUUAUUAGUUCAGGUUGAAAGGAGGGAAAGUUUUUCAGGUCCGUCUCUGAACGACGCUGACAUUUGUCUUGAUGAACCACUUUCGUGAGUCCCAAGAGAAUUACCCACAAUUCAUUGCGCUGGCGGGAUGAACACGGCGUUGCAAGACGAGGCCAAAGAAACAAAGAGGCCGACUUUCUGUUCGGUUUUAUCUUGUACAACUUGAGUUAUUAAUUCUUAAUCAGAUGCUUGUUAAUCACUUUAACACAUUACAGGUCAUUUAGCUGACGCUUUUAUCCAAAGCGACUUACAUUGCAUUUUUAACACACAGCUUUUUACAUUUAUGCCCACACACACAUCCAUGUACACACAUUCAUCAAAGCUGUGAGACGAAGUUCGUGAUUGGCUGGGGCGCGUGUGGGGGGCGGGACCUUCAAGCCGCCCUCUCGUUACCAUUAGAGAACGUGUCACGUAGUCGUGACCUCGGGCAUUUGGAAUCGAUGAUGAGGAAGAUGUUGCAGGCUUCCACGUAUCUAUUAAGUAACGAAUGUAACCAUUUCUUCUGGACGCAGAUUUCACUUUGCAGAAGCUUCCGUCUCGCUGUGUUGUGUCCGAGCAGGAAACCCGAUAAGCUGUUUAAACCCGAAGCUCAACAUCUCACCAUCACUUGUUUGAAUAACGGGAUUGAAUUGGAGAGGAGCUUUGGAAAAAAAACCUGCAAACCUGGAAGAAUCGUUGAAGGUCUUCAGAGACGAGGUCCCUAGAUUUGCGUUUGGUGAACUGCGCUGAUGAGAGCGAGCAAAAAAUAACACCUGGUUUAGAGGAGACUAAUUGGAAUUGGCUUAGGGGCUCAUAGAGUUUAGUGAUAUUAAUUAGUUCUGUAUAUAUUCAAAGAAUUUGUCUGGUCACAUGAUCAAAUAGAGACAUAACAUUGGACAACAUCCAUAUACAUGCAUAUAUAUAUAUGCAUAUAUGCAUGUAUAUGGAUGUUGUAUAUAUAUAUAUAUA